UGGGGAAUAUUGCACAAUGGGCGCAAGCCUGAUGCAGCCAUGCCGCGUGUAUGAAGAAGGCCUUCGGGUUGUAAAGUACUUUCAGCGGGGAGGAAGGGAGUAAAGUUAAUACCUUUGCUCAUUGACGUUACCCGCAGAAGAAGCACCGGCUAACUCCGUGCCAGCAGCCGCGGUAAUACGGAGGGUGCAAGCGUUAAUCGGAAUUACUGGGCGUAAAGCGCACGCAGGCGGUUUGUUAAGUCAGAUGUGAAAUCCCCGGGCUCAACCUGGGAACUGCAUCUGAUACUGGCAAGCUUGAGUCUCGUAGAGGGGGGUAGAAUUCCAGGUGUAGCGGUGAAAUGCGUAGAGAUCUGGAGGAAUACCGGUGGCGAAGGCGGCCCCCUGGACGAAGACUGAAGCUCAGGUGCGAAAGCGUAGGGAGCAAACAGG
This 429-nucleotide ribosomal RNA is filed under the name Chloroflexota bacterium. Its description in RNAcentral is "Chloroflexi bacterium partial 16S ribosomal RNA". It matches the Rfam family "Bacterial small subunit ribosomal RNA", at positions 355 to 776 of the family's 1533-position model. Lineage: Bacteria; Bacillati; Chloroflexota. The record is from RNAcentral.